Molecule: ribosomal RNA, 32 nt
Filed under: Flammulina rossica
Lineage: Eukaryota; Fungi; Basidiomycota; Agaricomycetes; Agaricales; Physalacriaceae
Description: partial large subunit ribosomal RNA
Source: RNAcentral
UUUGACCUCAAAUCAGGUUGGACUACCCGCUG